Long non-coding RNA from Suricata suricatta (meerkat), 828 nucleotides. RefSeq lists it as uncharacterized. Lineage: Eukaryota; Metazoa; Chordata; Mammalia; Carnivora; Herpestidae. The record is from RefSeq and is a predicted model, not a curated record. The transcript has 3 exons.
UUCAGCCCACAAUCUAGUAAGAGGCAGACAAAGAAAAUUGGCAAUCAUUAUACCCAACGACAAGAGCCACGCCAGGGGCGGGGGAGGAGGUAGGGCCCUAGCAUCAAGAAGCUUCCAGAGACUAGGCCAAACAGGACUUCAGCAGAUGGAUAGACAGUUCUGGGCAAGGCCAGCCCAUCGGAUCCUGUCUAGGGACAGGGAAUGCACAUGCCUACGUAGAAUGGCUUCUUUGGGAGGAGCGACAUCAUGGGGAAAACAGACCUCAGAACCUGGGAUCCAAGUGCUUGGAUGAGUGUCCCCUCGGCUCCGAUGCAUCUGAGCCAGCGCUGGACUAAACCCUUGGCGUGAUUAUAUCAUCUCCCCCUCCCAAGGACCCCACGGGGUGUGUGCUGUUCUCUCCGGACUUUCAGCAGAGGAGGAAACUGCAGUUCAGAGGCAUGGAGUGACCUUCCCUCGCUCGUGGAUCCCUCUUUCCUUCUGUGCCUCCCUUUCCUCUCUCCUUCCCAGCACUGCAGGCAGCGGCGGCAGCCAGCGGAGGCCCCACUGGAUGACAGCCGAGCUGAGCAGUCCUCGGAGCUGUCACUGAAGACAUCACACACCAGUGCCUGAAAUUCAAAUUAGAGUUUUGCUGAAGCUGCUAAAACUCCUCAAAUACUCUCUUUGAAGUCCCCUAGCAAGCUGGCCACUGCUCUUAAAGGAGUCCCUGCUGGAAAUGAGAUGGUGGCCAGAGGGUGCAGGCAGGGCCACCAAGCCAGGGACUGGGAGUGGGCUCCCCACACGCCCUGCCUCCAGUGGUCACCCCUUGGAACCCCUGCAGAGCAUACUCAC